GGCAUUCAAUCUUUUCUAAAGUUUUCGAUUUUCCUCCUUUGCCCAGAUACUCAUGUACCAAAUUUUUGACCUUGCAUGCUAUGUGUGAGUCUACAAGCUAGGCUGGCUCCUAAGAAUGCAUGAUGAAUAAGUUGAUUAAGGAUUCAGAUCCCGAUGGGACAUCUCAUAGAACAUCGAGGUUGAGUAUUAUCCCAUAUGUCUAGACAGAAUUAUCCCGCCAUCAUCCCAGCAUCGUAAUCGAGAUAUUUUGGGACAGUCUCUAUCCCAAGUGUCGGAAUGGGAC
RNAcentral lists this long non-coding RNA (283 nucleotides) under Elaeis guineensis (African oil palm). RNAcentral's name for it is "long non-coding RNA (EGUI_LNC052356)". The record is from RNAcentral. Lineage: Eukaryota; Viridiplantae; Streptophyta; Magnoliopsida; Arecales; Arecaceae.